RNA transcript from Beta vulgaris subsp. vulgaris (sugar beet), 543 nucleotides. RefSeq lists it as hypothetical. NCBI's taxonomy places the organism in Eukaryota, Viridiplantae, Streptophyta, Magnoliopsida, Caryophyllales, Amaranthaceae. The record is from RefSeq and is a predicted model, not a curated record. The transcript is spliced from 3 exons.
CGAAUUUUGUAGUAACAGUAGCAGCAGUAGGUGCUGUAGUUCUUCUUGCCAGAAGCGACGUUAAACAAUCCGCUGCAAUUUUCCGUCGCAAUGUUCGUCACAUUCGUAAUUGGCUCGAAGAAGAAUCUACUGCUGCCUCCAACGAUAAACUGAGAAGUAGAAGAGCAGAUGAAAUGAAGUACCAAGGACACUUACUUCUUCAGAUAAGAACACAUCAUGUCUGCUGAGAAGACGAAGCACAAGCUUGAGUCCGAGGUUUCUAAAAAGGAUAGUACUAAGGGAGAGAAGUAGUCGUUUUUAGCAUAUAAUUCUGCGGCGCAGGUUCAUCCUGAGGAUACUGUGAGUCUGUGAAGAGAUCAGAUUUCUAUCAUAAGUGUACAUGAAAAAGAUACUGUGCUUGACCACAUUUAAUAUGUCUUGAGUCCAUGAACAAGCUAGUUUUUAGGAGACAUAAAACGUAUUUUGCUUUUGACAUGAUGCAGAAGGAUGACAUAUAUGGCUUGCAUAUCAUAAUAGAUCUCCUGUCUCUCUAUCUUUGGGUUA